GAUGAACGCUAGCGAUAGGCUUAACACAUGCAAGUCGAGGGGCAGCAUGGUCUUAGCUUGCUAAGGCUGAUGGCGACCGGCGCACGGGUGCGUAACGCGUAUGCAACUUGCCUCACAGAGGGGGAUAACCCGUCGAAAGACGGACUAAUACCGCGUACACUCUAUGUUGGGCAUCCAAUGUAGAGGAAAUGAAAUUCGCUGUGAGAUAGGCAUGCGUCCCAUUAGCUAGUUGGUGAGGUAACGGCUCACCAAGGCGACGAUGGGUAGGGGAACUGAGAGGUUGACACCCCACACUGGUACUGCGACACGGACCAGACUCCUACGGGAGGCAGCAGUGAGGAAUAUUGGUCAAUGGGCGAGAGCCUGAACCAGCCAAGUCGCGUGAAGGAUGACUGUCUUAUGGAUUGUAAACUUCUUUUAUACGGGAAUAACAAGAGUCACGUGUGGCUCCCUGCAUGUACCGUAUGAAUAAGCAUCGGCUAACUCCGUG
RNAcentral lists this ribosomal RNA (490 nucleotides) under uncultured bacterium. RNAcentral's name for it is "partial 16S ribosomal RNA". It matches the Rfam family "Bacterial small subunit ribosomal RNA", at positions 28 to 507 of the family's 1533-position model. The record is from RNAcentral.